Long non-coding RNA from Tachysurus fulvidraco (yellow catfish), 349 nucleotides. RefSeq lists it as uncharacterized. The transcript has 3 exons. Lineage: Eukaryota; Metazoa; Chordata; Actinopteri; Siluriformes; Bagridae. The record is from RefSeq and is a predicted model, not a curated record.
ACGAGAACACACCCGGCUUGGACUUCUGUGGCUUUUUGAUCAUGAUGGAGAUUCCGAGGCUCAUGAAGGGUUUGGAGAAGUCGAUCACCUCCUCCCUCACGAGGGUGAUUGUUAAAGGAGCCACUGCGAUCUCAGCUUUCUGAGCAGGUGGAGAUCUUCACUGCACACAUUCACUGACAGAAGACUGCCAACUAUCACUUUCUCACAUCUACGUGCCUGACAGAGAGGAGGGGCUGGGGGAGUUGAACGGAGCCUCGUCUGAGGCAGUCACGACAAACCAGCCUCCUUGGACAAAACAUUAAGAUCCCCCUGGCACGGCUGUAGACAGACGACACAUAAGGUGUCUGAG